ACCCUCUGGUUCCCUUUCCCAUCGGAUCUGAACCCUGGUCUUGGUGGUUGUAAAAGUACCGAGCUGUGCUCAUAGUGUCUGCUAUAUAGUAUGUGGGCUACUUUCAAACAAGG
RNAcentral lists this small nucleolar RNA (113 nucleotides) under Tursiops truncatus (common bottlenose dolphin). Its description in RNAcentral is "Small nucleolar RNA SNORA61 (ENSTTRG00000022865.1)". Lineage: Eukaryota; Metazoa; Chordata; Mammalia; Artiodactyla; Delphinidae. The record is from RNAcentral.